Molecule: non-coding RNA, 115 nt
Organism: Triticum urartu
Lineage: Eukaryota; Viridiplantae; Streptophyta; Magnoliopsida; Poales; Poaceae
Source: Rfam
AGGGUCCUCCCUCCGUCCUAUAUUAGUUGUCGCUCAAACAGAUGUAUCUAGCACUGAAAUAUGUCUAGAUACAUCCAUUUCAGCGACAACUAAUAUGGGAUGGAGGGAGUAUUCA